Molecule: long non-coding RNA, 1084 nt
Organism: Perognathus longimembris pacificus (Pacific pocket mouse)
Lineage: Eukaryota; Metazoa; Chordata; Mammalia; Rodentia; Heteromyidae
Exons: 3
Source: RefSeq, a predicted model, not a curated record
AAGUUAAUAAUUUGUCCAAUAUACCAGAGCUGUUUUGUUUGCUAAAAAAACUGAGCCUAAGUUUAAAUCUAAAGGCUCUACUAUCUGUACCUUGCAAGAGACCAUGUCAUAUCACUGUUAGAACUAAUGUGCAGGCUCUGCUCAUGACUCUAUCCAUAAAAAAUUUUGUAAUAAAAGCAGAGAAAACUAGAGUUCUUUAAAUACACUGUGUUAGAAAACUAUACAUUUGUAAAUACACUAUUCUAAGAAGCUUAGGGUUCAUUUUCCUAACACAUCAUUGAUUGGAUAUAAUAUUCCAAAUUAUAUCAUCUCUUACAAAUAGUUCUUCUAAAUAUAUUCAUUCUCAAUAGGACAAUAAAAAAACAAAGAAAACAUAAAACCAAUUGAACUAUGCAUAUGAUAAAAAUUAAACAUGCUUUGCCAUUAAAUUUUGACAAACUAGCAUGACCUUGGAAGUGUCAUUUUUUUUCUGGUACUUAUAAUUCAGGAGAAUUCUACAGAGCGUUGGUCAGCAUGAAUUUGAAAUUAUAUCACAAUCUGUGGGCAAGUUCCUAAGCCUCUCUGAGCUGUGGUUUUUUUACCCAUAAAAUACAUGGCUGAGAGCUCUCUCUGCUUGAUUUUAAGGAUUAAAGUUUUAGAGUAAGAUUAUUUAAGAAUUUGUGUGGAUUAUGUACCUGAGAAAAUUAGAUUCUGUCAUAAGGAAGUUUUUUAUAUUUUUAAUUCUACCUCUUUCUCAUUUAUUUGCAUUCAAAAUAGUUUUAUCUAUAAUAAUCUAUAAAGUAGUAAUUCUCAUGUAAAACAAAAAAUGGCAAAGAAUUUGUGCUACAAAGUUACUUAAAGAAAAAUAAGAAGUAUUUUUCUGUACAGAUUAAAUAAUCAAAUUCAAUUUUAUGAUUUCUAUAAGCCAAUCUUACACUAUUCCCACACUAUUCUUGUUAUACUAGCAGAGACAACUUGUAAAUUUCCAACUUCUUUUUUUGUUUUUGCCAGUCCUGGGGCUUGGACUCAGGGCCUGAGCAUUCACUGUCCCUGGCUUCUUUUUGCUCAAGGCUAGCACUCUACCACUUGAGACACAGCGCCACUU